Molecule: ribosomal RNA, 253 nt
Filed under: uncultured bacterium
Lineage: Bacteria
Description: partial 16S ribosomal RNA
Rfam family: Bacterial small subunit ribosomal RNA
Source: RNAcentral
UACGUAGGGUGCAAGCGUUGUCCGGAAUUAUUGGGCGUAAAGAGCUCGUAGGCGGUCUGUCGCGUCUGCUGUGAAAACCUGGGGCUUAACCCCGGGCCUGCAGUGGGUACGGGCAGACUAGAGUGCGGUAGGGGAGACUGGAGUUCCUGGUGUAGCGGUGAAAUGCGCAGAUAUCAGGAGGAACACCAAUGGCGAAGGCAGAUCUCUGGGCCGUAACUGACGCUGAGGAGCGAAAGCAUGGGGAGCGAACAGG